UGGGGAAUUUUGGACAAUGGGCGAAAGCCUGAUCCAGCAAUGCCGCGUGUGUGAAGAAGGCCUUCGGGUUGUAAAGCACUUUUGUCCGGAAAGAAAUCCUUGGCUCUAAUACAGUCGGGGGAUGACGGUACCGGAAGAAUAAGCACCGGCUAACUACGUGCCAGCAGCCGCGGUAAUACGUAGGGUGCAAGCGUUAAUCGGAAUUACUGGGCGUAAAGCGUGCGCAGGCGGUUUGCUAAGACCGAUGUGAAAUCCCCGGGCUCAACCUGGGAACUGCAUUGGUGACUGGCAGGCUAGAGUAUGGCAGAGGGGGGUAGAAUUCCACGUGUAGCAGUGAAAUGCGUAGAGAUGUGGAGGAAUACCGAUGGCGAAGGCAGCCCCCUGGGCCAAUACUGACGCUCAUGCACGAAAGGCGUGGGGGAGCAAAACAGGAUUAGAUACCCUGGUAGUCCCACGCCCUAAACGAUGUCAACUAGUUGUGGGGAUUCAUUUCCUUAGUAACGUAGCUAACGCGUGAAGUUGACCGCCUGGGGGAGUACGGUCGCAAGAUUAAAA
This 555-nucleotide ribosomal RNA is filed under the name uncultured bacterium. Its description in RNAcentral is "partial 16S ribosomal RNA". It matches the Rfam family "Bacterial small subunit ribosomal RNA", at positions 355 to 899 of the family's 1533-position model. The record is from RNAcentral.